UCCCUCUUAGCUCAGUUGGUAGAGCGCGUCACUAGUAUCGCGUAUAGCGCGGAGAUCUUUCAUAAUGACGAGGUCAGUCGUUCAAGUCGGCUAGAGGGAA
Armillaria mellea is the source of this 100-nucleotide non-coding RNA. NCBI's taxonomy places the organism in Eukaryota, Fungi, Basidiomycota, Agaricomycetes, Agaricales, Physalacriaceae. The record is from the annotation of a GenBank genome assembly.